Brassica napus (rape) is the source of this 327-nucleotide non-coding RNA. The record is from Rfam. Lineage: Eukaryota; Viridiplantae; Streptophyta; Magnoliopsida; Brassicales; Brassicaceae.
AAGUCGGCAAAAUGGAUCCGUAACUUCGGGAAAAGGAUUGGCUCUGAGGGCUGGGCUCGGGGGUCCCAGUUCCGAACCCGUCGACUGUUGGCGGGCUGCUUGAGCUGCUAACGUGGCGAGAGCGGACCGCCUCAUGUCGGCCAGGGGACGGACUGGGAACGGCUCUUUCGGGAGCUUUCCCCGGGCGUCGAACAGCCAACUCAGAACUGGUACGGACAAGGGGAAUCCGACUGUUUAAUUGAAACAAAACAUUGCGAUGGUCCCUGCGGAUGCUAACGCAAUGUGAUUACUCACUCCUCACUCGUUGUUGUUUUCAGGUGACCAGUA